AAACAAAAGAGUUUGAUCCUGGCUCAGAUUGAACGCUGGCGGCGUGCUUUACACAUGCAAGUCGAGCGGCAGCAUGUCCUUCGGGAUGAUGGCGAGCGGCGAACGGGUGAGUAAUACAUCGGAACGUACCUUUUAGUGGGGGAUAACGCAUCGAAAGAUGUGCUAAUACCGCAUAAUCUCUGAGGAGGAAAGGCGGGGACCUUCGGGCCUGUCG
This 214-nucleotide ribosomal RNA is filed under the name Neisseriales bacterium. Its description in RNAcentral is "partial 16S ribosomal RNA". It matches the Rfam family "Bacterial small subunit ribosomal RNA", at positions 1 to 217 of the family's 1533-position model. Lineage: Bacteria; Pseudomonadati; Pseudomonadota; Betaproteobacteria; Neisseriales. The record is from RNAcentral.